GGGACUUAGAGCAUUUGUUAUCACAUCAGAUUUUGAUUCUGGGAACCCCGGUUCAAAUCCGGGUGCAGCCUCA
Non-coding RNA from Zopfochytrium polystomum, 73 nucleotides. The record is from the annotation of a GenBank genome assembly. Lineage: Eukaryota; Fungi; Chytridiomycota; Chytridiomycetes; Chytridiales; Chytridiaceae.